UACGUAGGUGGCGAGCGUUGUCCGGAUUUACUGGGCGUAAAGGAUGCGUAGGCGGAUUUUUAAGUGGGAUGUGAAAUACCCGGGCUCAACUUGGGUGCUGCAUUCCAAACUGGAGAUCUAGAGUGCAGGAGAGGUAAGUGGAAUUCCUAGUGUAGCGGUGAAAUGCGUAGAGAUUAGGAAGAACACCAGUGGCGAAGGCGAUUCUCUGGACCGUAACUGACGCUGAUGCACGAAAGCGUGGGGAGCAAAC
This 250-nucleotide ribosomal RNA is filed under the name uncultured bacterium. RNAcentral's name for it is "partial 16S ribosomal RNA". It matches the Rfam family "Bacterial small subunit ribosomal RNA", at positions 524 to 773 of the family's 1533-position model. The record is from RNAcentral.